GCGGCAUGCCUAACACAUGCAAGUCGACCGCUGUGCUUGCACAGAGGGGCGAACGGGUGAGUAACACGUAUCUAACCUACCUUUUAGUCUGGAAUAACUGUGGGAAACUGCAGCUAAUGCCGGAUAGAAGUCCAUUGGAAUCACUGGAGGACCAAAGAUCCGUUUGGAUCGCUAUUAGAUGGGGAUGCGGCGUAUUAGUUAGUUGGUGAGGUAAUGGCUCACCAAGACGAUGAUGCAUAGCCGACCUGAGAGGGUGAUC
Molecule: ribosomal RNA, 259 nt
Filed under: uncultured bacterium
Lineage: Bacteria
Description: partial 16S ribosomal RNA
Rfam family: Bacterial small subunit ribosomal RNA
Source: RNAcentral